UACGUAGGUGGCAAGCGUUGUCCGGAUUUACUGGGUGUAAGGGCGCGUAGGCGGGAUCGCAAGUCAGAUGUGAAGUCCAUGGGCUCAACCCAUGAACUGCAUUUGAAACUGUGAUUCUUGAGUAUCGGAGAGGUAAGCGGAAUUCCUAGUGUAGCGGUGAAAUGCAUAGAUAUUAGGAGGAACACCAGUGGCGAAGGCGGCUUGCUGGACGACAACUGACGCUGAGGCGCGAAAGCGUGGGGAGCAAACA
RNAcentral lists this ribosomal RNA (250 nucleotides) under uncultured prokaryote. Its description in RNAcentral is "partial 16S ribosomal RNA". It matches the Rfam family "Bacterial small subunit ribosomal RNA", at positions 524 to 774 of the family's 1533-position model. The record is from RNAcentral.